UACGGUCACUGAAUCUAGAAAGUACUGUAUCCCUUCAGAUCUGCAAAGUUAACCUAGAUAUCGCUCGAUCAGUGCCAAGGCUAAGGAUAACUUGGGAAUUCCGAAUGCUGUAGUU
Molecule: ribosomal RNA, 115 nt
Organism: Kwoniella botswanensis
Lineage: Eukaryota; Fungi; Basidiomycota; Tremellomycetes; Tremellales; Cryptococcaceae
Source: RefSeq, a predicted model, not a curated record